This 6900-nucleotide long non-coding RNA is filed under the name Populus tremula. RNAcentral's name for it is "long non-coding RNA (PTRE_LNC000892)". Lineage: Eukaryota; Viridiplantae; Streptophyta; Magnoliopsida; Malpighiales; Salicaceae. The record is from RNAcentral.
CUGAAUCAAAUUCGUUUUCUUUUCGCCACAACAAUCACUCUCCACUAUUUUUCUCCGCUGCUCUUCUAUCAAGUACUGCAUGAAACUAUCGCUCUUUAGAUGGCACUCUGUCAAUCUCUUCUCCAUCUUUUUUGAUUUAAUCCACGGUAUAAAGUCUCCAAUAAUGGUUUUGCCACCUAGCAAGAAGCUUUCAGCAUGAAUUGCGCGAAACCUUUUUGCUUCUUCCACAUCAGAAACAUCCUCUCCAUAAUAUCUCUUUCCAGCUAUCAUCCGCAUCAUUAUAUUCAGUGUCAAUUCGAAGAAAACUGUCUUCAUAUCUACAAUCUGAUUUUGAUUACGAAAGAGAACACAAAUCAUUGACUUCACCUCCUCCAGACGUAUGGCAGAGAGCAUUUGGAGGCGGUGUGCAGACAGGACUUCAAUAGAGACGAUUCUCCUAAGGUUUCGCCAGUGGUCGCCAUAGGGAGCCCAAGCAAGGCUUGUGCUGUUGUAGGCGAGGUGUUUUGCAAUGAGCAAACGUGGGCGGUUUGCAAAGACAACAUCAUUUUUGGUAAAGCAUUCUUCAGCUAUCGAAGGGGAUGAGACAACAAGUUGUCGACGAGACCCGAGUUGGAGCAAGAUUACGGGGCCAUGUUUACUAGAGAUUUUUGAUAGUGUCCUGUAAAUUGGCUUCUUAAGUAGGUAGAGAUGGCCAAUGAUUGGUAGUGAAGGGAAUGGACUCGGUGGGAAGUUUCUUAUCUUGUUUAGGAAGUGCGCUGUUAUGAUAUACAAGGCUAAAAACACAGGAAAGUAGAGAAAGAAGGUUGCCAUGGAUUUGGCAAUAGCCACUGCCACUGUCCUUGUUUUUUAGGGAGGUGUGUGAAUUAUAUUGUGCGUGUCUUGAUGAGAGCAUCUAUAUGUUAAUUAUUUCAUACUAGGAGUCACGGAAAUGAAAGAAACAGAAUUGAAAUUUCUUGAGGUCGAGUCUGCUCGUCUUAUCUCAUCGAUAUAAAAAGCAACUAUGGACGUGAUGACUGAUGAGGUCAGUGCAGACGUGUCUGUAUUGAACUAGUUACGUGCGAAGUUAUUAAACGGGACACGACACGAGCUUUUGGUAAUGACUAAUGAGUUAAAUAUUAAGCAUAACAUGCGUUUGAAGAUUUUUUUAAAAUAUUAAAUAUAAUAUUGUUUAAAUUUCUUUUCAAAAAAUAAUUUUUAUAUGGUUAAUUCAAUUAAAAGUUGACUUAUCAAGUCAGAAAUUCAUUCGACACUUAGCGCAGGAGCUAGAAACCAAAACAUAUAUAGAUCAUGCAAGGAACGCCAUAAUCAACUAACAGCUACGAUCUCUAGAGAGAAUUAGUUGCCAAGUUGGGAAAUCACAUGUAUCCCUUCCAAAGGUGCCCAGAGGACGGGGCAGACGCAUCAGAGCGACAACCCGGGAGCGGAUUCCCUACCGGCAAGGGGGCAGGAGACGGUCAUCUCGAGGCACAUCACGACCUACAGGCAAGAUCGACGAGGCUAGUGGAGGUCACGACCCACGGCAAGGUGGCCUUCCACGCAGUCACUAUAUCUAUAUGAAUAUCGUUCUUGAACUUCUAGAGCUAGCCCAGUCCAAAAGAGGCUAGUGAAGGUCACAUGAAUGGAAAGCCCUUGAUUCCUAAUUUAAAAAAAAAAAAACAAAAAAACCAAAGAUUUCUUGCUUUUAUUGCCAAAUCGUAUGUGAACAAAUUUUAUUUGCUGCAAUGCUCCCUUGUUUUCUAAAAUCUUAGUCAUUUCGCAAGUGGCACUUAUGAAAAUUCUUCCUUUUUCAAAUUAUAUACAAAAGCAUGGUAGUGUCUCCAUUCUCCACAAGUCUCAACUUACGAGAGCAGGUGCUAUCUGCUAGAUUAGAAAAAGGCAUGGCAAUGUCUGAAAGAACAAGGCAAAUUCAACUGAUAAAAAACUACCGAAGCAAAGAGACUGUGAACAAAUGGCAAGAGUAAAGGUUUCCCUACUUUUUUUUAUGCAGCAUAUAAAUGGAGGGAGGAUAUAUGAUACGUGGCAGUUAUUCUUUCGAUCACAAGUGAAAUGGAAGGCAGCCAUUUUUUUUUUUAUAAGCAAAAGGUAAUAAAGCCCAAGAAAGGCACAAACCAUAGCCAUGUGAUAAUAUGGAAACUGUCAUAAUCUAUUUUUCAAUUAUUUUUUAAAUUUACUUUUAAAAAUAAAUAUAUAACAUAAAAUAAAAUAAAAACUUGUGAUAUGGAGAAAACAUAUCAAAAAGGAUCCCAAACAUAUAGGAAAAUAAAGUUGCAAUUUUAGAUAAAUUUUGAGGCCUGAUUAUACAUCAUUAUACCCAGGAUUGAAGAUACAAUGCAGAUUCAAGGUCAAAUUAAAUAAUUACUGGAUGAAUUUGUAUAAAAAUUAAAUCCAAUGAUAUAAUUAAAUUUUUAAUAAACCCAUUCGAUUUAAUCAUGAGUCAAAUUAAAGUUUAAUUAUGUUUGAGAAUUAAUUUGGGUCCAAUUGAAGAAUUUAAUUAGGUGCAAGGACGUAAUUAAAUUUUAAAUGAGUCAAAUUAAUUUUAUUAAGGGUUUAGUUAGUGAAAACUUAAUUUUGGAAGCCUAAUUUGGGUUUAAUUGAAAAUAUUAGAAUUUUAGGAAAUCAAAUUUAAUUUUUACAAAAUCAAUUGAUUGAAAUCAUGGAUAAAAUAAAAUAAAGUUUUCAGGUUGGGUAGGGGAUAAAUUAAAGAAUUUUAUAGCUAAUGAUCAAUUUACAAAAGUCGUCGAACUAUAAAAGCUUAAUUCAUUGCAAUCGAGGUGAAAAUAAAGAAAUUAAAAGUUUCAUGGUUAAUUAGGUGCACAAUUAUAUAAAUCCGAGAUCAAUGACUAAAAUGAAAACAACAUAAAAUGAGGUCUGAUAUUAUAAUUCAACGGGGCCUAAAUUAUAUUAAAUCCAAAGUUUAGGGUUAAUUAAAUGUACAAUUAAAGAAAUCAAAAGUCAAAUGACCAAAAAGAACUUUGACUAAAAUUUAUAAUUCAAACAUAAAACAAUGACAUUUCAAAUUAAAAAAAUAAAAAACCAAACAUCAUUAACAAUACUCUAAAAGACAUGGAAAUGUAUUGUAGCUUCUCCCAUGCCUUUUAUUUUCGUUGUACUAAUAUCUUUAUUUUUUUUGUCUUUAAAUUCCUCACGCCUUUUAUUUUUGUUGUACUAAUAUAUAUAUAUAUAUAUAUUUUUACAUGUUUUCCCCCCAUGAUUCACUUCUUUUUAAAAAAAAUUAUAUGUUUUUUUCAAAAUUAUUUUUGCUGAUUGUUUUUUAAUAUUAAACUAGUUGAGAAUUUCGCUCUGUUAUUUAAAACAAAACAUUGUAAAUUGAUAAGGUAUUUUCCUCACAUGGUUUUUCUUUUGCUACAAUAUCUCUUUAUAUGGUUUUUUUUUCAAAAUUCUCUUUGUUGAUUUUUUUUUUAAUAUUGAGCUGGUUAACAAUUUAUCUUUAACUUUCCCCGCAUGUUUUUUUCUUUAUUUUUUGUUUUUUUAUUUUUUUCCCAAAAUUGUGUUAUUUUUUCUGUGUGUUUUUUUUUAGAAUUGUUUUUGUCGACUUUAUUUUUUUAAUAUUGAACUGGUUGAGAAUUUAGCUUUAUAGAUUUUUCAUUAAAACACUGUUGAUUGCUAUAGUGUUUUUCCAUAUGGUUUUGUUUUUCCAGAAUUGUCUUUGUUAAUUUUAGUUUUUUUCAUAUUUAGCCGAUUGAUAAUUUAGAUUUGUAGUUUUUUUCUUAAAAAAAAAAAACAUUGUGGAUCGUUACAAUAUUUAUCUACAUGAUUUUUCCUUGCUACAAUGUUUUUUCACAUGUUUUUUUAUCAAUUUUUUUCAAAUUUAUCUUUGUCAAAUUUAUUUUUUCUAUAUUAAGUUAGUUGAAAAUUUAGUUUUGUAGCUUUUUUCUUCAAAACACCGUUGAUUGCUAAAGUGUUUCCUCACAUGAUUGAUUUUUGUUAUAAUUAUUUUCAAAAAUUUCUUUAUCGAUUUUAUUGUUUUUAAUAUUGAACUGAUUGAAAAUUACAACUGUAGAUUUUCUCAUGAAACACUGUAGAUUACUACAGUGUUUUCAUGCAUAGUUUUUUUUUUCCUUUCGUUUUUAAUUUUUUUUUAAAAUUAUCUUUAUUGAUUUAUUUUUGUAAUAUCGAGUUGGUUGAUAAUUACAACUGUAUAUUUCAUCACAAAAUAUUUUAGAUUGCUGCAGUGUUUUUUCUACAUAAUUAUUUUUUCUUUUGUUUUUUUUAUGAUUUUUUUCAAAAUUAUCCUUGUUUAUUUUUUUUUUAAUAUUAAACUGGUUAGAAAUUUAGCUUUGUAGUUUAAUUUUUCUUGAAAAUAUUGUGGAUUGUAAUAGUAUUUCUCUAUGUAAUUAUUUUUUAUGAUUUUUUCUAUAAAUGCAUAAUAACAUAUAAACAUGCUAUAAAUCCACGGCAGCACGCGGCCAUGGCAACUAGUAUCAUCUCGAUACUGUUUAUUAUCUUUAUAUUAUUAUUAUUCACCUAAAAAGCCAUAGGAUGCAUGCUUGGGCGUGCCCUACAUCUAGCUUGCAGUGGUUUUGCCUUUGUACUGGUAAACCCGGGCCCCUCGGUCAUAUCCACCAUUUUAUCACCAAUCUUCUGCCAACCGAAACAUUGAAGGAGCGAGCCCAAUGCUAAUCCCACCACUCUCAGGGCCAAGACUUCUCCAGGACAGCUCCUCCUUCCAUGCCCGAAAGGCAUCAACUUAAACCCGUCUCUUCCCCCCUCCGGGUUGUCGAACCUCUCAGGUCUGAAUUUUGUAGGGUCUGGCCAGAUUUUAGGGUCAUUUUGAAUGGCCCACAUAUUUACAGAGAGCAUCGUGCCCCGUGGAAUGCGGAAUCCUCCAACCAGGCAUUCUUCUGAUGACUCAUGAGGUAGUAGCAACGGCGCUGGCGGGUACAUCCGCAACGUUUCGUUGAGGAUGCUGCGGAGGUAGGGAAGGUGGGCAAGAUCAGCUUCAUCCAUGAAACGAUCAUGCCCAAUCUGCUCGUCGAUUUCUCUUUGAGCCUUCUCGAGGACUUGGGGAUGGUUGAGCAACAGUGAAAGUGCCCAUUCCAUUGUAGCAGAUGAAGUAUCUGUUCCCGCCAACAAGAGGACCUACACACCAAACCGAAUAGUGGUAAUUAAUUCCAUAGACGAUGCAAAGAAAGUCACCAAAGUGACCUCCCACUCCCUUGUCAAUUCACAAUGGUGGUGUAACUUGACACGGAAACAACUUCUAGCAGUGGAGGUAUCUUACUGCUUGUAGAAAUAUCAAAUAAAGAUGAUGCAAAUCAAAUCACCAGAGUGAUCUCCCACACCCUUGUCAAUUCAAUACACCUUGGUUGCGUCUAUUUCUAAUACAUAAAGUUUGGUGCUAUACAUUAGACUUGUGAGUCACCUAAUCUCAAGGCAAUUAGACUUAGCAUGCUAAGUUCUAAGUGAAGUAGGUCUAAUUGAUAUUUAUUUUUCAUUCAGUAUUAUCAAUAAUUACAAUGCAAUUCCUCAUAUUUUACAUAAAAACAAGAUUUAGAAGCUAUAUAUACAUGAUAAAUGCUUCAUAAAAAAGUUUAUAUUUUUCAAUUCUCUACUCCUUUAAUAUUUGAAAUUUAUCACCGAAUGAUUUUUAAGUUCCUCCAAUUAAAAUUGUUUUUUUAGUAUUCAAGACUAUCUUUGUAAAUUUAAAGUUUUUUAAAUUUAAAAACAUUUGAAUACCUUAACUUAAUAAUUAACUCCUGUCCCAAAAACUAAAUAAACUAUUAAUUUAUAUUGAAAAUUUUAAUAUUUAACAUGUCAAUGUUAAAAAGGUUACUUAAUGUCAACAUUUUAAAGCUACAAGAUUCCUCUUACAAAAUAACCAGUCCAUUUAACAAGAUCGAAAGAAAAAACAUGUCCCUUCAAUGAUUCACAUUAUAAUACAAUGAAGAACAUUUGACAAUUCUGAAUUAUGAUCUAAACAUAAAAGAACAGUGCUGCAUAUCGGUAUCCCAACUCAAUUGAUCAUAAUAAUUAGUAAAUCAAACAACAUGAUUAAAGAUCUUACCAGCAUAAUCCCUUUGAUGAGAUCGUCCGUGUAAUACCCAGGUUCAGUUUCUUGCAGGGACAGCAGAACCUGAAUCAAAUUCGUUUUCUUUUCGCCACAACAAUCACUCUCCACUAUUUUUCUCCGCUGCUCUUCUAUCAAGUACUGCAUGAAACUAUCGCUCUUUAGAUGGCACUCUAUCACUCUCUUCAACAUCUUUUCUGAUUUAAUCCACGGUAUAAAGUCUCCAAUAAUGGUUUUUCCACCUAGCAAUAGGGUUUCAGCAUGAAUUGCUCGAAACCUUUUUGCUUCUUCAACAUCAGAAACAUCCUCUCCAUAAUAUCUCUUUCCAGCUAUCAUCCGCAUCAUUAUAUUCAGUGUCAGUUCGAAGAAAACUGUCCUCAUAUCUACAAACUGGUUCUGAUUACGGAAGAGAACACAAAUCAUUGACUUCACCUCCUCCAGACGUAUGGCAGAGAGCAUUUGGAGGCGGUGUGCAGACAAGACUUCAAUAGAGACGAUUCUCCUAAGGUUUCGCCAGUGGUCGCCAUACGGAGCCCAAAGAAGGCUUGUGGUGUUGUAGGCGAGGUGUUUUGCAAUGAGAUAGCCUGGGCGGUUUGCAAAGACAACAUCAUUUUUGGUAAAGCAUUCUUCAGCUAUCGAAGGGGAUGAGACAACAAGUUGUCGACGAGACCCGAGUUGGAGCAAGAUUACGGGGCCAUGUUUACUAGAGAUUUUUGAUAGUGUCCUGUAAAUUGGCUUCUUAAGUAGGUAGAGAUGGCCAAUGAUUGGUAGUGAAGGGAAUGGACUCGGUGGGAAGUUUCUUAUCUUGUUUAGGAAGUGCGUUGUUAUGAUAUACAAGACUAAAAACACAGGAAAGUAGAGAAAGAAGGUUG